CCCAGUCUUCCCCAUCAGGCUACAAGAGGUGUUCCCAAGCCAUUUCAUUUUCACUUUGUUUUCACUUUUUUUACCACCUGAUAGGCACGUCACCUGAUAGGCGAAUGCGUAUCCCUAAUCAACGCUACAUCCUCUUGAGGUAACUCAGUGUAACGGCUGUCUUCAUAAAUGGACCAAGGCGCAGCAGGUAUGUGAAUACUCAUCUUUAAUUAAAAGUAAGGAGUAAAGCAUCCACUUAACAACACAAAAAGGUGUUCAGUGACAGUUCUGCAGGCUAUAAACGCAGUGCAAAAACAACCACCCACAAACCCCAGUGACAAACAUACUCCUACAUAUAUGACUCCCAAUCAGGAACAACGAUCCCCAGCUGUUCCUGAUCAGGAGUCACAAGACACACAGAACAUUCAAACACAACCGCAAGACUGCCACGUCCUGACCCCCAAACUACUACAACAGCUCCAUCUGCUGGUCAGGACGUGACAGUACCCCCCCCCCCUCAAGGUGCAGACCCCGGAAUGCACCUAACAACAAAAAAAACACCAACAAACAAAAUCCCCAACAAAAUCCAUAAACACUAACCCUUAAACAAUAAGGGAGGGAAGGGAGGGUGGCUGCCGUCAACGACGGCACUGUGCUACACCCUCCCUCCCCAACCCACCUAUCCUGGAGGUGGCUCAGGUGCAGGCCGUGGACCUCGCUCCACCUUCGGCGUCGCCCACUUUGAUGGCGCCGAUAGCUGCACCGGGCAGACGGGCCACUCGGGCUGACCCUGGCAGACGGACCACUCGGGCUGGACCGGAGGACAGGAGGGCCCCUCGGGCUGGGCCGGGGGACAGGAGGGCCCCUCGGGCUGGACCGGAGGGCAGGAGGGCCACUCGGGCUGGACCGGAGGGCAGGAGGGCCCCUCGGGCUGGACCGGAGGGCAGGAGGGCCACUCGGGCUGGACCGGAGGGCAGGAGGGCCACUCGGGCUGGACCGGAGGGCAGGAGGGCCACUCGGGCUGGACCGGAGGGCAGGAGGGCCACUCGGGCUGGACCGGAGGGCAGGAGGGCCACUCGGGCUGGACCGGAGGGCAGGAGGGCCACUCGGGCAGUUCAGGGCAGUCUGGCCACUCUGGCAGUUCAGGGCAGUCUGGCCACUCUGGCAGUUCAGGGCAGUCUGGCCACUCUGGCAGUUCAGGGCAGUCUGGCCACUCUGGCAGUUCAGGGCAGUCUGGCCACUCUGGCAGUUCAGGGCAGUCUGGUGACUGUUGACUGGCGGGCAGCUCUGGUGACUGUUGACUGGCGGGCAGCUCUGGUGACUGUUGACUGGCGAGGCUGGGCUGACACACUAGACUCCUGAUGCGUGGGGCUGGUAUUGGAAGUGCCAGCCUGGAGACACGCACCUCCAUGCUAGUGCGUCUAGCGGGAAACACCGGACCGAAAGGGCGAGAUGGUGCGUACCUCAGCGUAACAUGGCGCCCUCCACCUCAUAUGCACCUCCCUGUAGUCACGGGUAGCUGGCUUACGGCUCUUCCCUGGCCUGGCCAAGCUACCCGUGUGCCCCCCCAAUUUUUUUUAUUGUGGGUGCCUCUCGCGCUCGUUGCGCUCUCUCUCUUCGUAAUAGCGCCUCUCCGCUCUCGCCGCUUCAAUCUCCCACUGCUGGAGGCGAUAAUCCCCAGCCUGAGUCCAUGGUCCCUCUCCGUCCAGGAUCUGUUCCCAAGUCCAUUCCUCCUUUUUUCUCUCCAGUGGCUUCCUCCUCUUCUGCUGCUUGGUCCUUUGGUGGGUGGUUCUGUAACGGCUGUCUUCAUAAAUGGACCAAGGCGCAGCAGGUAUGUGAAUACUCAUCUUUAAUUAAAAGUAAGGAGUAAAGCAUCCACUUAACAACACAAAAAGGUGACAACAGUGACAGUUCUGCAGGCUAUAAACGCAGUGCAAAAACAACCACCCACAAACCCCAGUGACAAACAUACUCCUACAUAUAUGACUCCCAAUCAGGAACAACGAUCCCCAGCGGUUCCUGAUCAGGAGUCACAAGACACACAGAACAUUCAAACACAACAACAAGACUGCCACGUCCUGACCCCCAAACUACUACAACAGCUCCAUCUGCUGGUCAGGACGUGACACUCAGCACUGGAUACAAGUUUCACAUCAAUGUGUAACCCUCUCACCAGGCUUGAAUAUGACUCUCACAAUAUUAACUUAUGUAGAGUAUCUCAACAGCAUGGGAUGUUAGGUGAGAAGGACAUCUCCACUAAGAAUUCCUAUUGUAAACUAUCUAGGGUGAUGACAAUAGGGUAUUAACUUCAGAUGAAAUGAUUACAGGUUUCUGUUAUUGUUUCAGGAUAGGCUAUCCCAUGCAUUAAAUUAAAUUGAAAACAGUAAAUGACUCCAUCAAGGCAACAUACAUAAGGUUCAAUAUGUGUAUGAUUACAUUUUCAUAGCUCAACAUCAAAAGAAAUAAAAAAUAAUAAACCCCAAUGAGUCGUGCACAACCCAUGUACAAAUGAUUUCAAGCUUGUUUAACCUGUUGGCGUGCGUUGGAGCUAAAAAAAAAGACGACACACAUAAAGUCCAGAAGCACUCCACCGUUGUGGUUACUCACUACUUGAAGAUAUUCCUUCAGCGAAGUAUGGCAGUUCCUUGCAGGUUUCCUCACAAGAUCCACAGCGAGCACAGCCAUCAAUGCAGACAGUACUCUUUAGCAGUAACCGAUAUCCCAUGAACUCGUUAAGCUUUCCCAAGCAAUUCUCUCUCGGUGUUACACUAUGCUAGGCUAACCUCAAGGCUGUCAAAUACCUCCAUGAUGAAACGGUAGCUUCAGUCUUUACUAAGUCUUAACAAAAUUAUAACAACUAUCUUAUAAAAAAAAAUCGAUAUUUCCCUUCAUGUCUUAGUAGGUAAUGGUUUUGUUAUAGUUUUGUUGUCUUCUUUUAUAAUUUUUCUUCACCAACGGUCCUGUAUGUAAAAAUCCAUCCUUUUCU
Molecule: long non-coding RNA, 2965 nt
Filed under: Salmo salar (Atlantic salmon)
Lineage: Eukaryota; Metazoa; Chordata; Actinopteri; Salmoniformes; Salmonidae
Description: lncRNA (ENSSSAG00000084125.1)
Source: RNAcentral